Molecule: long non-coding RNA, 3829 nt
Organism: Scylla paramamosain (green mud crab)
Lineage: Eukaryota; Metazoa; Arthropoda; Malacostraca; Decapoda; Portunidae
Exons: 3
Source: RefSeq, a predicted model, not a curated record
UUUAACAUUCUUGCUUUGCAUACAUAUGAAAAAGAUUGAAGCUAGAGAAACUUUUCUUUUAUGAAAAUAGACUAAUACACCUUGAGAACGAAUAUUUCUUCUAUAAAGGAAUUGAGUGUCAUGGGAUAGGCUGGCUUGAGGUGAUGAUCUGCAUAAUAUUCAUGUAAUAGCUUAUGCAAGAGUGUUUAAAACUUCCAGAUUUUAUUACACAACAUGAUGGAGUCAAAAAAACGACACAAUUACACAAUUGCAUACAAGCUACAAGUAAUACAAUAUGCUAAGGAAAACGGCAACAGAGCUGCUGCUAGGCAUUUUGGUCCACCUCCAACUGAGAAAAUGAUUCGUUUUUGGCGAAAACAAGAGGAAGAACUUCAGAAAGCUGUGAAAUCAAAACAUGGUCUUCGCACAAAGAAAGCUAAAUGGGUGGAACUGGAAGAGGAGAUGAAGGCUUGGGUUGUUGAUCAAAGGAAUCAGGGUGCAAUAGUAACAACUAAACAAAUAAUUUUUGAAGCUAAAGAAAGGGCAACUGCCAAAGGCUAUGAUGAUUUUGGUGGUAAUGAGGGCUGGUGUUAUAGAUUUAUGAAAAGGAAUGGAUUAGCAAUGCGAACUAAAACAAAAAUAUCACAAAAAAUGCCUAUGGCAUAUGAAAACAAAAUUCUUGAGUUUCAUAAAUACGUUAUAAAUCUCAGAAAGGACACCCAUUUUGAAAUGGGACAAAUUGCAAAUAUGGAUGAAGUACCACUGUCAUUUGAUGUGCCUUCUAAUAAAACAGUUGAUUUUAAAGGUUCUAAGACUGUGACUAUUAAAACCUCAGGCCAUGAGAAAACUCAUUUUACAGCAGUACUGGCUUGUUGUGCUGAUGGCACUAAAUUACCACCUUUCCUCAUAUUCAAGAGGAAAACCUUUCCCAAAGAAAGCAUUCCACCAGGUAUCUUUAUUCAUGUUCAUCCUAAGGGCUGGAUGGAUGAGGAUGGUGUGAAGCUGUGGCUUGACAAAGUAUGGUCACGGCGUCCUGGGGGACUUAUAAAAAAAACAUCACUUCUUGUGUGGGAUCAAUUUAGGGCUCAUUUAACUCAGGCUACCAAGAACAGAGUACACAAUCUAAACACAAAAGUGGCUGUAAUACCUGGUGGACUAACAUGCCAGUUGCAACCACUUGAUGUUUGCAUAAACAAACCUUUCAAGGUGUAUAUGCGUGAGCAGUGGAACGCGUGGAUGAGACUCCCGCAACAUGACAAAACACCAUCGGGCUUCAUCAAGAAGCCUACAAUAGCCCAGGUUUGCCAGUGGGUAAAAAUUGCUUGGGAUAAAGUAAAAACAGAGACAGUGGUGCUUUCAUUCAAGAAAUGUGGCAUCAGUAAUGAUCUUGAGGGCACAGAGGAUGACCUUCUAUACGAAGGCAGUGACUCUUCUACUUCUAGUAGUGAUUCUGGUGAGCUUGAGGAAUGCAGUACUGAUGACAGUGACAAUGAUUUUGUAGGGUUUGGAUGUGAAUAAAAAUGCUACAGUUGUGCUAAGCAAAUUUCAGAAUGAAUAAAAUCAAUUUAUUUUCAUGAAUUUGAAUUAAAAACUCUUUAGUUUUGUUGUGUAAGAUUUCAGAAUGAAUAAGAUCAAUUUAUUUGCACGAAAAUUUAUUUGAAUUAAAAAAAGGAAUGAAACACUUCAGAUUUGGUUUUUUACUUUUGUAACUUCUAAGAAUAAAACUAAUUUAUUUUCACGGAUUUGAAUUUGAAUAAAAUGUAGUAGGUAAACUAUAGUAAUUUGUGCAAGGUAUUCAAAGUGAAUAUUAUGAAUUUGUUGUGAUUUGAAUACGAAUUAAAAGAUACAAUUGUACUAAAUUUUAUGAUGAAUGAAAUAAUAUUUCAAGUAAAAUACACUUUAGAAAAUAAAGUUAGUAAGUCUGCUUUUACACAUCCUUUGGCUUUGAAAAUGUACUAAAAUACUGCAUAAGAAUUACAUGUGAAAGAUGCUAAAAAAUAAAGUAUGAAAAAAUUUUAUUAUCACUGUAGUCCCUCAGUUAAUGGUGCCGCCAAGAGCUAGGUGCAGUUAAUGUUUACAUUCAGCUGAACCGCAUUAAGACUGAAACUCCCCUGCUUACCACACCUUUUGGGCACUAGAGGCUGUGACAUCACAGUCUGCAUGGCCCCAACUAAAAUACCAAUAAGAAGAUUGUGUUUACACGUCAGCAGGAUUGGUACAAUCUUGUCUUUCAAUACCCUCAACCGAACCAUUACGUUCUGGCUUUCAAGGCCCGCAGCCUUACCAAGAUUUGACUCCAGAAAUCCAACCAGCUCCACUGUAUCUAGUCUGAAACACUACCUGUAUACCACACCUUUGGGACGCCAGGCUGUGAUGUCACGGCCAUCACAGCCUCAACAAAACCCCAAAAAGAACAAAACUGGGUGCGUCUUAUGAGCCCGUGCGUCUUAUGAGCCAUCAAAUACGGUAAAUGUGCUAUCGAGGAAGCAAAGUCACUGCUAGAGACGAGUAGAAAGGCAGUGAUACAGUACUACGGGGAAGUACUAAAAAGAUUUCCUGACAAAGACGGCAUUCUUGACAUUGAUGUGACUUACGACGGAAGUUGGCACACAAGGGGACACAAAUCACUUUUAGGAGUUGGUGCAGUGGUGGAUGCAAACUGUGGACUGGUGGUGGACUUUCAUACAGUAUCCAGGCUUUGUAUUAUGUGCACUCGAAUGAAAACUAGAGUGAAAAAGAAAAUAAUGACACAGAAAGCUUUUGAUGAGUGGAAGACAAAACAUGCUCCUCGUUGUGACGUGAAUCAUGAAGGUUCAUCUGCUAGCAUGGAGGCUGCUGCUGCAAUGUGCUUGUGGAACAGGUCGCUUUCACACAGCUUGAGAUAUGUGAAUUUUAUCUCUGAUGGUGACAGUUCUUCCUUCAAAGCUGUCACAGCUCUUUCUGAUGGUAAUGGGCCCUAUGGUAAGAAACACACUGUGAAAAAGGAAGAGUGUGUGAACCACGUAUCCAAGUGACUUGGUACAGCACUCAGAAAUCUCAAACAGACCCCCCACUUUACAGAGGAGGGUGGAAAGAGGAGGAAGAUAAUGUUGGGGGGACACUCGAGGCUGACAGAUAGUGUUAUCAACAGACUGACUUACUACUUUGGCAUCAGUGUUCGACAUCGCGCCAAUACAACUCCCGAGGAGAUGUGAAAUGACAUCAUGUCUUCUUUUUACCACUGCUCCUCUACAGAUGAGAACCCCAAGCAUAACCUUUGCCCCAAAUCUGAAGAAUCCUGGUGCUUCUACCAAAAAGCUCUGUCAAAGGGCAACACUCCACCCAGCCAUUCCACUAUGAAGAUAAAAUUCUGGUUGGAUCCUGAAGGACUGAGGCUAGUAGAAGAUGUCUACAAAAGGCUAACAACUGAUGAUAUGAUGACGAGGUGCCUCAGAGGGAAGACUCAAAAUCCCAAUGAGUCAUUACACCACAGAAUAUGGCGCUACUGCUCAAAGCACAAAAAUGCCACGAAGGAAAUGCUGGACUUCGCAACUGCACAGGCGGUGUCCAACUUCAAUGGAGGAUAUCUUUCUAGCGACCUGUGCAGUAAGUUGGGAGUGGCCUUCACAGACAAGAACUACAAAUACCUUACAAAGGAAAACACCAAAAUGGACAGGCCGAUCAAGAAGAAGAUCAGAAGCAAACAGCUGCAAAAGGACCUGGAGGCAUAUGCAUCUGGUGCGCAUUAGCCAUGCAGCGACACUCCCAGAACUUCAGAGCCUCUUUUCUCAAAACAUAGAUACCAUGAUGAAACUUCGCCUCAUCAUUUACCAUAUGGUUACACACUUUGAGUAAAAUUUACAAAAGGCUA